Pelobates cultripes (western spadefoot toad) is the source of this 209-nucleotide non-coding RNA. The record is from the annotation of a GenBank genome assembly. Lineage: Eukaryota; Metazoa; Chordata; Amphibia; Anura; Pelobatidae.
GGAGAGCUCUAACAUGAGCUCCUGUUGCACUUUACAAUAGUCUUCCAACUUUUGGUGACAUAGCAAGCUUAUCUGAAGGACUGUGUACAUAAUGUAAGGUGAGUCGGUUUAAGUCUGACAUUCAGGUUGGGUGCUGCUAAAGCCCUGACUUGUUGAACCGAACAUUAAAAAAAGGCAGAAUAAGCUGGAUGUCACUGUUUAGGGCAAAG